GACGAACGCUGGCAGCGUGCUUAACACAUGCAAGUCGAACGCUGAAGCUUGGUGCUUGCACUGGGUGGAUGAGUGGCGAACGGGUGAGUAAUACGUGAGUAACCUGCCCUUGACUCUGGGAUAAGCCUGGGAAACUGGGUCUAAUACUGGAUACGACAUGUCACCGCAUGGUGGUGUGUGGAAAGGGUUUUACUGGUUUUGGAUGGGCUCACGGCCUAUCAGCUUGUUGGUGGGGUAAUGGCUCACCAAGGCGACGACGGGUAGCCGGCCUGAGAGGGUGACCGGCCACACUGGGACUGAGACACGGCCCAGACUCCUACGGGAGGCAGCAGUGGGGAAUAUUGCACAAUGGGCGGAAGCCUGAUGCAGCGACGCCGCGUGAGGGAUGACGGCCUUCGGGUUGUAAACCUCUUUCAGCACGGAAGAAGCGAAAGUGACGGUACGUGCAGAAGAAGCGCCGGCUAACUACGUG
This 472-nucleotide ribosomal RNA is filed under the name uncultured bacterium. RNAcentral describes it as "partial 16S ribosomal RNA". It matches the Rfam family "Bacterial small subunit ribosomal RNA", at positions 28 to 507 of the family's 1533-position model. The record is from RNAcentral.